CGCGUAGGUAACCUGCCUUGUAGCGGGGGGAUAACUAUUGGAAACGAUAGCUAAUACCGCAUAACAAUGGGUGACUCAUGUCAUUUAUUUGAAAAGGGGGCAAAUGCUCCACUACAAGAUGGACCUGCGUUGUAUUAGCUAGUAGGUGAGGUAACGGCUCACCUAGGCGACGAUACAUAGCCGACCUGAGAGGGUGAUCGGCCACACUGGGACUGAGACACGGCCCAG
RNAcentral lists this ribosomal RNA (228 nucleotides) under uncultured bacterium. RNAcentral describes it as "partial 16S ribosomal RNA". It matches the Rfam family "Bacterial small subunit ribosomal RNA", at positions 114 to 334 of the family's 1533-position model. The record is from RNAcentral.